CAAAUAGAGGGUUUACUCAAUUCACCAUUUUCCAUUGCCGCUUUAGCAAGAUCCUGCAAUUGUGCUUUCUCAGUUUUGUUUAAGAAUUUCCUUAAUUUGCCCUUUGAAGUGACCAGUAAUUUUAUUCAAUUUCAUAAUGCAUUUUACAUUACAGAUAAUCAGGAAAGAUGGUAUUGAUGCAAUGCAUGAAGCACAUUUGCGAUACUCAUAUUGUGCUUUCCUUCAGAACCUUGGAAUUCGCUUGGACCUGCUAUAUAUUACUAUAGGAACUGCCAUGGUUCUAUUUCACCACUUCUUUGUGAGGAGAUGACAUGCAUGCCAU
This is a long non-coding RNA of Capsicum annuum, 322 nucleotides long. RefSeq lists it as uncharacterized. NCBI's taxonomy places the organism in Eukaryota, Viridiplantae, Streptophyta, Magnoliopsida, Solanales, Solanaceae. The record is from RefSeq and is a predicted model, not a curated record. The transcript has 3 exons.